RNAcentral lists this ribosomal RNA (431 nucleotides) under uncultured bacterium. RNAcentral describes it as "partial 16S ribosomal RNA". It matches the Rfam family "Bacterial small subunit ribosomal RNA", at positions 29 to 507 of the family's 1533-position model. The record is from RNAcentral.
AACGAACGCUGGCGGCAGGCUUAACACAUGCAAGUCGAACGCCCCGCAAGGGGAGUGGCUGACGGGUGAGUAACGCGUGGGAACAUACCCUUUUCUACGGAAUAGCUCUGGGAAACUGGAAUUAAUACCGUAUACGCCCUACGGGGGAAAGAUUUAUCGGGGAAGGAUUGGCCCGCGUUGGAUUAGCUAGUUGGUGGGGUAAAGGCCUACCAAGGCGACGAUCCAUAGCUGGUCUGAGAGGAUGAUCAGCCACAUUGGGACUGAGACACGGCCCAAACUCCUACGGGAGGCAGCAGUGGGGAAUAUUGGACAAUGGGCGCAAGCCUGAUCCAGCCAUGCCGCGUGAGUGAUGAAGGCCUUAGGGUUGUAAAGCUCUUUCACCGAUGAAGAUAAUGACGGUAGUCGGAGAAGAAGCCCCGGCUAACUUCGUG